This 467-nucleotide ribosomal RNA is filed under the name uncultured bacterium. RNAcentral's name for it is "partial 16S ribosomal RNA". It matches the Rfam family "Bacterial small subunit ribosomal RNA", at positions 28 to 507 of the family's 1533-position model. The record is from RNAcentral.
GACGAACGCUGGCGGCGUGCUUAACACAUGCAAGUCGAACGGAAAGGCCCUGCUUUUGUGGGGUGCUCGAGUGGCGAACGGGUGAGUAACACGUGAGUAACCUGCCCUUGACUUUGGGAUAACUUCAGGAAACUGGGGCUAAUACCGGAUAGGAGCUCCUGCUGCAUGGUGGGGGUUGGAAAGUUUUGGCGGUUGGGGAUGGACUCGCGGCUUAUCAGCUUGUUGGUGGGGUAGUGGCUUACCAAGGCUUUGACGGGUAGCCGGCCUGAGAGGGUGACCGGCCACAUUGGGACGGAGAUACGGCCCAGACUCCUACGGGAGGCAGCAGUGGGGAAUAUUGCACAAUGGGCGGAAGCCUGAUGCAGCAACGCCGCGUGCGGGAUGACGGCCUUCGGGCUGUAAACCGCUUUCGCCUGUGACGAAGCGUGAGUGACGGUAUGGGUAAAGAAGCACCGGCUAACUACGUG